UGAAUACGAGACGCUAAGGCGUCGAAGUAGUGUAUGUCAUACUUCCAAGAAAAGCUUGCACUGUCAUAGAUAAAAAACGCCUGUACCAUAACCGACACAGGUGGGUAGGUAGAGUAUACUAAGGGGCGCGAGAUAACUCUCUCUAAGGAACUCGGCAAAAUAACUCCGUAACUUCGGGAGAAGGAGUGCCUUAUUCUUAAGGUUGCAAUAACAAGAUCCAAGCAACUGUUUAUCAAAAACACAGGUCUCCGCUAAGUCGUAAGACGAUGUAUGGGGGCUGACGCCUGCCCAGUGCCAGAAGGUUAAAGAAGCUGGUUAGCAUUUGCGAAGCUAGUAACUGAAGCCCUGGUGAACGGCGGCCGUAACGAUAACGGUCCUAAGGUAGCGAAACUCCUUGUCGGGUAAGUUCCGACCCGCACGAAAGGCGUAAUGAUUUGGAUACUGUCUCGGAGAGGGGCUCAGUGAAAUAGACUUGUCUGUGAAGAUGCGGACUACCUGCACCAGGACAGAAAGACCCUAUGAAGCUUUACUGUAACUUGAAAUUGAAAUUGGACUUUAUUCGCGCAGUAUAGGUGGGAGGCGUUGAUUAUAAUCUUGCGGGAUUAUUGGAGCCAUUAGUGAGAUACCACUCUUGUAAUGUUAGAUUUCUAACUUUGAAUCAUUAUCUGGUCAAAGAACAGUUUCAGGCGGGCAGUUUGACUGGGGCGGUCGCCUCCUAAACGGUAACGGAGGCGUACAAGUUUCCUCUGAACGGUUAGAAAUCGUAUCUAGAGUGUAAAGGCAUAAGGAAGCUUGACUGUGAGACCUACAAGUCGAGCAGGGACGAAAGUCGGUCUUAGUGAUCUGACGGUACUGAGUGGAAAGGCCGUCACUCAACGGAUAAAAGUUACUCUAGGAUAACAGGCUGAUCUCCCCCAAGAGUUCACAUCGACGGGGAGGUUUGGCACCUCGAUGUCGGCUCAUCGCAUCCUGGGGCGGUAGUACGUCCCAAGGGUUGGGCUGUUCGCCCAUGAAAGCGGUACGCGAGCUGGGUUCAGAACGUCGUGAGACAGUUCGGUCCAUAUCCGGUGUAGGCGUUAGAAUAUUGAGAGGAGCCUUCUUUAGUACGAGAGGACCGAGAAGGACAUACCUCUGGUGUACCAGUUAUCGUGCCAACGGUAAACGCUGGGUAGCUAUGUAUGGAGUGGAUAACCGCUGAAAGCACCUAAGUGGGAAGCCCACCUCAAGAUAAGUAUUCUCA
Molecule: ribosomal RNA, 1240 nt
Filed under: metagenome
Description: bacterial LSU rRNA
Rfam family: Bacterial large subunit ribosomal RNA
Source: RNAcentral